UGGGGUGUGGUUCAGUGGUAGAGCAUGUGCCUAGCUUGCAUGAGGAGCUGGGUUUGAUUCUCAGCACCACAU
This 72-nucleotide transfer RNA is filed under the name Marmota marmota marmota (Alpine marmot). It matches the Rfam family "tRNA". Rfam says of the family: Transfer RNA (tRNA) molecules are approximately 80 nucleotides in length. The record is from Rfam by way of RNAcentral. Lineage: Eukaryota; Metazoa; Chordata; Mammalia; Rodentia; Sciuridae. RNAcentral also lists the same sequence under 1 other name.